AACGUACGCUGGCGGCACGCCUAACACAUGCAAGUCGAACGAAGUAGCAAUACUUAGUGGCAGACGGGUGAGUAACAUGUAGGUAUCUGCCCUUUGGCCUGGAAUAACACGAGGAAACUUGUGCUAAUACCGGAUAAGUCUUUACGGAGAAAGCUUUAUGCACCAUUGGAUGAGCCUGCACUUGAUUAGUUUGUUGGUGGGGUAAUGGCCUACCAAGACUGUGAUCAAUAGCUGAUUUGAGAGGAUGAUCAGCCACAUUGGGACUGAGACACGGCCCAAACUCCUACGGGAGGCAGCAGUGGGGAAUCUUGCACAAUGGAGGAAACUCUGAUGCAGCGAUGCCGCGUGAGUGAAGAAGGCCCUUGGGUUGUAAAGCUCUUUCGUCGGGGAAGAAAAUGACUGUACCCGAAUAAGAAGGUCCGGCUAACUUCGUGCCAGCAGCCGCGGUAAUACGAAGGGACCUAGCGUAGUUCGGAAUUACUGGGCUUGAAGAGUUCGUAGGUGGUUGAAAAAGUUAGUGGUGAAAUCCCAGAGCUUAACUCUGGAACUGCCAUUAAAACUUUUCAGCUAGAGUAUGAUAGAGGAAAGCAGAAUUUCUAGUGUAGAGGUGAAAUUCGUAGAUAUUAGAAAGAAUACCAAUUGCGAAGGCAGCUUUCUGGAUCAUUACUGACACUGAGGAACGAAAGCAUGGGUAGCGAAGAGGAUUAGAUACCCUCGUAGUCCAUGCCGUAAACGAUGUGUGUUAGACGUUGGAAAUUUAUUUUCAGUGUCGCAGGGAAACCGAUAAACACACCGCCUGGGGAGUACGACCGCAAGGUUAAAACUCAAAUGAAUUGACGGGGACCCGCACAAGUAGUGGAGCAUGUGGUUUAAUUCGAAGAUACGCGCAGAACCUUACCAACACUUGACAUGUUCGUCGCGACUCUAAGAGAUUAGAGUUUUCGGUUCGGCCGGACGAAACACAGGUGCUGCAUGGCUGUCGUCAGCUCGUGUCGUGAGAUGUUGGGUUAAGUCCCGCAACGAGCGCAACCCUCACUUUUAGUUGCCAUCAUUAAGUUGGGCACUCUGAAAGAACUGCCAGUGAUAAGCUGGAGGAAGGUGGGGAUGACGUCAAGUCCUCAUGGCCCUUACGUGUUGGGCUACACACGUGCUACAAUGGUAUCUACAACAGGAAGCAAGACUGCGAAGUUAAGCAAAUCCCUAAAAGAUACCUCAGUUCGGAUUGCACUCUGCAACUCGAGUGCAUGAAGCUGGAAUUACUAGUAAUCGUGGAUCAGCGUGCCACGGUGAAUGCGUUCCCGGGUCU
Molecule: ribosomal RNA, 1306 nt
Filed under: uncultured bacterium
Lineage: Bacteria
Description: bacterial SSU rRNA
Rfam family: Bacterial small subunit ribosomal RNA
Source: RNAcentral